This 599-nucleotide ribosomal RNA is filed under the name Salmonella enterica. Its description in RNAcentral is "partial 23S ribosomal RNA". It matches the Rfam family "Bacterial large subunit ribosomal RNA", at positions 590 to 1190 of the family's 2925-position model. Lineage: Bacteria; Pseudomonadati; Pseudomonadota; Gammaproteobacteria; Enterobacterales; Enterobacteriaceae. The record is from RNAcentral.
GGGGUGACUGCGUACCUUUUGUAUAAUGGGUCAGCGACUUAUAUUCUGUAGCAAGGUUAACCGAAUAGGGGAGCCGGAGGGAAACCGAGUCUUAACCGGGCGUUAAGUUGCAGGGUAUAGACCCGAAACCCGGUGAUCUAGCCAUGGGCAGGUUGAAGGUUGGGUAACACUAACUGGAGGACCGAACCGACUAAUGUUGAAAAAUUAGCGGAUGACCUGUGGCUGGGGGUGAAAGGCCAAUCAAACCGGGAGAUAGCUGGUUCUCCCCGAAAGCUAUUUAGGUAGCGCCUCGUGAAUUCAUCUCCGGGGGUAGAGCACUGUUUCGGCUAGGGGGCCAUCCCGGCUUACCAACCCGAUGCAAACUGCGAAUACCGGAGAAUGUUAUCACGGGAGACACACGGCGGGUGCUAACGUCCGUCGUGAAGAGGGAAACAACCCAGACCGCCAGCUAAGGUCCCAAAGUCAUGGUUAAGUGGGAAACGAUGUGGGAAGGCCCAGACAGCCAGGAUGUUGGCUUAGAAGCAGCCAUCAUUUAAAGAAAGCGUAAUAGCUCACUGGUCGAGUCGGCCUGCGCGGAAGAUGUAACGGGGCUAAACCAU